RNAcentral lists this ribosomal RNA (450 nucleotides) under uncultured bacterium. RNAcentral describes it as "partial 16S ribosomal RNA". It matches the Rfam family "Bacterial small subunit ribosomal RNA", at positions 354 to 796 of the family's 1533-position model. The record is from RNAcentral.
GUGGGGAAUUUUGGACAAUGGGCGAAAGCCUGAUCCAGCCAUGCCGCGUGCAGGAUGAAGGCCUUCGGGUUGUAAACUGCUUUUGUACGGAACGAAACGGUCCGGGUUAAUACCCUGGGCUAAUGACGGUACCGUAAGAAUAAGCACCGGCUAACUACGUGCCAGCAGCCGCGGUAAUACGUAGGGUGCAAGCGUUAAUCGGAAUUACUGGGCGUAAAGCGUGCGCAGGCGGUUUUGUAAGACAGGCGUGAAAUCCCCGGGCUCAACCUGGGAAUUGCGCUUGUGACUGCAAGGCUGGAGUGCGGCAGAGGGGGAUGGAAUUCCGCGUGUAGCAGUGAAAUGCGUAGAUAUGCGGAGGAACACCGAUGGCGAAGGCAAUCCCCUGGGCCUGCACUGACGCUCAUGCACGAAAGCGUGGGGAGCAAACAGGAUUAGAAACCCCUGUAGUCC